UGCGUAGGCGGUUUGUUAAGUCUGUUGUGAAAUCCCCGGGCUCAACCUGGGAACUGCACUUGUGACUGCACGGCUGGAGUGCGCCAGAGGGGGUGGAAUUCCACGUGUAGCAGUGAAAUGCGUAGAUAUGUGGAGGAACACCGAUGGCGAAGGCAGCCCCCUGGGGUGACACUGACGCUCAUGCACGAAAGCGUGGUAGCGAACA
RNAcentral lists this ribosomal RNA (205 nucleotides) under uncultured bacterium. RNAcentral's name for it is "partial 16S ribosomal RNA". It matches the Rfam family "Bacterial small subunit ribosomal RNA", at positions 568 to 774 of the family's 1533-position model. The record is from RNAcentral.